CAGCCGCCGCGGUAAUACAGAGGGUGCGAGCGUUAAUCGGAUUUACUGGGCGUAAAGCGUGCGUAGGCGGCUUUUUAAGUCGGAUGUGAAAUCCCUGAGCUUAACUUAGGAAUUGCAUUCGAUACUGGGAAGCUAGAGUAUGGGAGAGGAUGGUAGAAUUCCAGGUGUAGCGGUGAAAUGCGUAGAGAUCUGGAGGAAUACCGAUGGCGAAGGCAGCCAUCUGGCCUAAUACUGACGCUGAGGUACGAAAUCAUGGGGAGCAAACAGGAUUAGAUACCCGGGUAGUCCCUGUCUCUUAUAC
This 301-nucleotide ribosomal RNA is filed under the name uncultured bacterium. RNAcentral describes it as "partial 16S ribosomal RNA". It matches the Rfam family "Bacterial small subunit ribosomal RNA", at positions 509 to 807 of the family's 1533-position model. The record is from RNAcentral.